RNAcentral lists this ribosomal RNA (253 nucleotides) under uncultured bacterium. Its description in RNAcentral is "partial 16S ribosomal RNA". It matches the Rfam family "Bacterial small subunit ribosomal RNA", at positions 524 to 776 of the family's 1533-position model. The record is from RNAcentral.
UACGUAGGUGACGAACGUUAUCCGGAAUUACUGGGCGUAAAGCGUGCGUAGGUGGUUUGUUAAGUCUGAUGUGAAAGCCCUGGGCUCAACCUGGGAACGGCAUUGGAAACUGGCUUACUAGAGUGCGGUAGAGGGGUGUGGAAUUCCCGGUGUAGCAGUGAAAUGCGUAGAUAUCGGGAGGAACAUCUGUGGCGAAGGCGACACCCUGGACCAGCACUGACACUGAGGCACGAAAGCGUGGGGAGCAAACAGG